AUAUGUUCAGACUUUCGAAUCGACGAUCGGCUCUGUUAUAGUUGAUCUAAAAUAUUUGAAGCAUCUAGAAAAUAAAUUUUACGAUUUUUCGAUAUUAUUUGCCUAGUAAUCGAAGGGCCUCAAAAUCAAUAAUUUUAACGGCCGUGGUGAGCCGGUUGCAAAUUUAACGGUGUAGAAAUAUCCAAAUCACAUGAAAUUUUGAUAGAAAAUUUUUUAUACCAUAUAAAACAAGAUCAAUAACUUUGAUUUAAAAUUUUAAUGUUAUAUCAUCAUAUUUUGUAAGAUUUUUAUUUUCAGCAGUUGAUUUUGAGCCAAUUCGAUCACUAGGCAAAUGAUAUCGAAAAAUCGCAAAAUUUAUUUUCUAGAUACCUCAUAUACUCUAAAUCAAGUCUAACGGAGCCGAUCGUCGAUUCGAAUAGAGUUGAGCUUGAAUACUAUCGGUAGCAAACGGGCUCCGUUCCCACCCAUUUGUUUUUUAUGAUGGAGCCCCCAAAUCGACAAUCGGCACCGUUGAAAAUGAUCUAUACUACUUGAAGUAUCUAGAAAUCAAAUUUCAUACUUUUUCGAUAUUAUUUUCUUGUCCAUCAAGUGGGCGUAAAAAUGAAAGGCUGAAAAUGAAUAUCCUGCAAAACGUGAUGAUAGAAAUUUUGUAAUUAUGAUCAAAAGUAUAGAUCUUGUUCUAAAUAGUUUAAAAAAUUUUCUAACAAAAAUUCAAUUGAUUUAGAUAGCUUUAUACCGUUAAACGAGAAAACCCUUCAUAUCAACCAUUAAAAUUACUAAUUUUGAAACCCUUUGAUCAUUAGGUAAAUGAUGUCGAAAAGAUUUGAAAUUUAAUUUCUAAAUACUUCAAGUGAUAUAGAUCAUGUUCAACGGUGUCGAUCGUCGAUUUGAAAACUCCAUCAUCGAAAAUAAAUGGGUGACAACAGAGUCCGUUUGCUACCGAUAGCAUUCCAGCUCAACUCUCUCUCUCUCUCUCUCUCUAUAUAUAUAUAUAUAUAUA
Molecule: long non-coding RNA, 1000 nt
Filed under: Ananas comosus (pineapple)
Lineage: Eukaryota; Viridiplantae; Streptophyta; Magnoliopsida; Poales; Bromeliaceae
Description: long non-coding RNA (ACOM_LNC022652)
Source: RNAcentral